AUUGAACGCUGGCGGCAGGCCUAACACAUGCAAGUCGAACGGUAGCACAGAGAGCUUGCUCUCGGGUGACGAGUGGCGGACGGGUGAGUAAUGUCUGGGAAACUGCCCGAUGGAGGGGGAUAACUACUGGAAACGGUAGCUAAUACCGCAUAAUGUCGCAAGACCAAAGAGGGGGACCUUCGGGCCUCUUGCCAUCGGAUGUGCCCAGAUGGGAUUAGCUUGUAGGUGAGGUAACGGCUCACCUAGGCGACGAUCCCUAGCUGGUCUGAGAGGAUGACCAGCCACACUGGAACUGAGACACGGUCCAGACUCCUACGGGAGGCAGCAGUGGGGAAUAUUGCACAAUGGGCACAAGCCUGAUGCAGCCAUGCCGCGUGUAUGAAGAAGGCCUUCGGGUUGUAAAGUACUUUCAGCGGGGAGGAAGGGAGUGAGGUUAAUAACCUUAUUCAUUGACGUUACCCGCAGAAGAAGCACCGGCUAACUCCGUGCCAGCAGCCGCGGUAAUACGGAGGGUGCAAGCGUUAAUCGGAAUUACUGGGCGUAAAGCGCACGCAGGCGGUCUGUCAAGUCGGAUGUGAAAUCCCCGGGCUCAACCUGGGAACUGCAUUCGAAACUGGCAGGCUGGAGUCUUGUAGAGGGGGGUAGAAUUCCAGGUGUAGCGGUGAAAUGCGUAGAGAUCUGGAGGAAUACCGGUGGCGAAGGCGGCCCCCUGGACAAAGACUGACGCUCAGGUGCGAAAGCGUGGGGAGCAAACAGGAUUAGAUACCCUGGUAGUCCACGCUGUAAACGAUGUCGACUUGGAGGUUGUUCCCUUGAGGAGUGGCUUCCGGAGCUAACGCGUUAAGUCGACCGCCUGGGGAGUACGGCCGCAAGGUUAAAACUCAAAUGAAUUGACGGGGGCCCGCACAAGCGGUGGAGCAUGUGGUUUAAUUCGAUGCAACGCGAAGAACCUUACCUACUCUUGACAUCCAGAGAACUUAGCAGAGAUGCUUUGGUGCCUUCGGGAACUCUGAGACAGGUGCUGCAUGGUUGUCGUCAGCUCGUGUUGUGAAAUGUUGGGUUAAGUCCCGCAACGAGCGCAACCCUUAUCCUUUGUUGCCAGCGGUCCGGCCGGGAACUCAAAGGAGACUGCCAGUGAUAAGCUGGAGGAAGGUGGGGAUGACGUCAGGUCAUCAUGGCCCUUACGAGUAGGGCUACACACGUGCUACAAUGGCAUAUACAAAGAGAAGCGACCUCGCGAGAGCAAGCGGACCUCAUAAAGUAUGUCGUAGUCCGGAUUGGAGUCUGCAACUCGACUCCAUGAAGUCGGAAUCGCUAGUAAUCGUGGAUCAGAAUGCCACGGUGAAUACGUUCCCGGGCCU
RNAcentral lists this ribosomal RNA (1361 nucleotides) under uncultured bacterium. RNAcentral describes it as "bacterial SSU rRNA". It matches the Rfam family "Bacterial small subunit ribosomal RNA", at positions 28 to 1381 of the family's 1533-position model. The record is from RNAcentral.